GGCGAAAAAUGAUGAAUCCAAAUUAUAUCAUUUGGGUGAUCAUCAAAUAUUUCAUUUAUUUGAUAUGAUCAGAAAUUUUACCGCUACGUUCUUUCUGAUUCCUCU
Arachis stenosperma is the source of this 105-nucleotide small nucleolar RNA. RefSeq annotates it as small nucleolar RNA R32/R81/Z41. Lineage: Eukaryota; Viridiplantae; Streptophyta; Magnoliopsida; Fabales; Fabaceae. The record is from RefSeq and is a predicted model, not a curated record. The transcript has a single exon.